UUAUUUGAGAGUUUGAUCCUGGCUCAGGAUGAACGCUGGCGGCGUGCCUAACACAUGCAAGUUGAGCGAUUUACUUCGGUAAAGAGCGGCGGACGGGUGAGUAACGCGUGGGUAACCUACCCUGUACACACGGAUAACAUACCGAAAGGUAUGCUAAUACGGGAUAAUAUAUUUGAGAGGCAUCUCUUGAAUAU
RNAcentral lists this ribosomal RNA (194 nucleotides) under Clostridioides difficile. Its description in RNAcentral is "partial 16S ribosomal RNA". It matches the Rfam family "Bacterial small subunit ribosomal RNA", at positions 1 to 201 of the family's 1533-position model. The record is from RNAcentral. Lineage: Bacteria; Bacillati; Bacillota; Clostridia; Peptostreptococcales; Peptostreptococcaceae.